This 505-nucleotide ribosomal RNA is filed under the name uncultured bacterium. Its description in RNAcentral is "partial 16S ribosomal RNA". It matches the Rfam family "Bacterial small subunit ribosomal RNA", at positions 28 to 507 of the family's 1533-position model. The record is from RNAcentral.
GACGAACGCUGGCGGCGUGCCUAAUACAUGCAAGUAGAACGCACAGUUUAUACCGUAGCUUGCUACACCAUAGACUGUGAGUUGCGAAUGGGUGAGUAACGCGUAGGUAACCUGCCUGGUAGCGGGGGAUAACUAUUGGAAACGAUAGCUAAUACCGCAUAAUAUUGAUUAUUGCAUGAUAAUUGAUUGAAAGAUGCUAUUGCAUCACUACCAGAUGGACCUGCGUUGUAUUAGCUAGUAGGUGAGGUAACGGCUCACCUAGGCGAAGAUACAUAGCCGACCUGGGAAGGUGGACGGCCACACUGGGACUGAGACACGGCCCAAACUCCUAAGGGAGGGAGCAGUAGGGAAUCUUCGGCAAUGGACGGAAGUCUGGCCGGAGAACGCCGGGUGAGUGAAGAAUGGUUUCGGAUCGUAAAACUCUGUUGUAUGAGAAGAACGGGUGUGAGAGUGGAAAGUUCACACUGUGACGGUAGCUUAACAGAAAGGGACGGCUAACUACGUG